UGGUAAUGUGUAAGGGUCACCCAG
RNAcentral lists this non-coding RNA (24 nucleotides) under Mus musculus (house mouse). The record is from RNAcentral. Lineage: Eukaryota; Metazoa; Chordata; Mammalia; Rodentia; Muridae.